This 253-nucleotide ribosomal RNA is filed under the name uncultured bacterium. RNAcentral describes it as "partial 16S ribosomal RNA". It matches the Rfam family "Bacterial small subunit ribosomal RNA", at positions 524 to 776 of the family's 1533-position model. The record is from RNAcentral.
UACGUAGGGAGCAAGCGUUGUCCGGAAUCAUUGGGCGUAAAGCGCGCGUAGGUGGCCUCAUAAGUCCGCUGUGAAAGUCAAAGGCUCAACCUUUGAAAGCCGGUGGAUACUGUGAGGCUAGAGUACGGAAGAGGCGAGUGGAAUUCCUGGUGUAGCGGUGGAAUGCGCAGAUAUCAGGAGGAACACCAAUAGCGAAGGCGGCUCGCUGGGCCGUUCCUGACGCUGAGACGCGAAAGCUAGGGGAGCGAACAGG